This is a long non-coding RNA of Argentina anserina (silverweed cinquefoil), 541 nucleotides long. RefSeq lists it as uncharacterized. Lineage: Eukaryota; Viridiplantae; Streptophyta; Magnoliopsida; Rosales; Rosaceae. The record is from RefSeq and is a predicted model, not a curated record. The transcript has 3 exons.
AUCUCAGUAUCUCAUCUUCGGUUUCUUUGUUUUGUUUGAUUUCGAUCUAUAAUUGGGUUUACAAUGGAUUAAAUGAUGCAGGAACACGCAACUGAGAACGUCUACAUCAAGGUUCCCCAAUUUCCGAAGGGGAAAUUACAUUCAUUCUUUUACGAAUUCUUAUGAUGCCUGGAUCCGAAUGAUGACGGUUUUUCUUUAUUCGAUCUGUCUUGGAUUGGUAUUAAAUUAGUGUUUUUUGACUUUUGUGUUUGUGUCUGAAGAAAAUGGAGAGGGAGAGGCUGGAGAAGCUGAAGCAAAAGGCUGCUAAAGAAAGAGCUGAGAAUGAGAAAGUAAUUGCUGAUAAGGUGAGACUUCCAAUUUAACACCGAUGGCAUUGUACAAUGGGCAAUCACCCUAUUCCUCCCCUUCUCCCUAUGAUAUCUUGUCUGCUCCUUUUGAUAUGUAUAGACAACUUUAUGAGAGGUUACAAGGUGUCUACAUUUCUCCUUUUCAAACCCCAUCUGCCUCUCCUAUCACUCAUGUUCAACUUUAUAAGAGUUUU